CCAGACUCCUACGGGAGGCAGCAGUGAGGAAUAUUGGACAAUGGUCGGAAGACUGAUCCAGCCAUGCCGCGUGCAGGAUGAAGGUCUUAUGGAUUGUAAACUGCUUUUGUAAGGGAAGAAUAAGGGCUACGCGUAGUUUGAUGACGGUACCUUAUGAAUAAGGAUCGGCUAACUACGUGCCAGCAGCCGCGGUCAUACGUAGGAUCCGAGCGUUAUCCGGAGUGACUGGGCGUAAAGAGUUGCGUAGGCGGUUGUAUAAGUGAAUAGUGAAAUCUGGUGGCUCAACCAUACAGGCUAUUGUUCAAACUGUACAACUUGAGAGUGGUAGAGGUCACUGGAAUUUCUUGUGUAGGAGUGAAAUCCGUAGAUAUAAGAAGGAACACCGAUGGCGUAGGCAGGUGACUGGACCAUUUCUGACGCUAAGGCACGAAAGCGUGGGGAGCGAACCGGAUUAGAUACCCGGGUAGUCCACGCCGUAAACGAUGGAUACUGGCUGUUGGAGGUAUCGACCCCUUCAGUAGCGAAGCUAACGCGUUAAGUAUCCCGCCUGUGGAGUACGGCCGCAAGGCUAAAACAUAAAGGAAUUGACGGGGGCCCGCACAAGA
Molecule: ribosomal RNA, 605 nt
Filed under: uncultured bacterium
Lineage: Bacteria
Description: bacterial SSU rRNA
Rfam family: Bacterial small subunit ribosomal RNA
Source: RNAcentral